RNAcentral lists this ribosomal RNA (375 nucleotides) under Candidatus Vogelbacteria bacterium. Its description in RNAcentral is "bacterial LSU rRNA". It matches the Rfam family "Bacterial large subunit ribosomal RNA", at positions 1956 to 2341 of the family's 2925-position model. Lineage: Bacteria; Candidatus Vogeliibacteriota. The record is from RNAcentral.
AGUAAAAAAUGAAGUUCAGACGCGCACGAAUGGCGUAACGACUGGGGAACUGUCUCGAGGAGUAGCUCGGUGAAAAUACAGUGGGGGUGAAGAUGCCCUCUACCUGCAGCUAGACGAAAAGACCCCAGGAGCUUUACUGCAACUUGGUAUUGAGCGUACGGUCUUACUGCGUAGCAUAGGUGGGAGACUUUGAAGUGCCGUUCUCGGAUGGCAUGGAGUCGUCAGUGAAAUACCACUCUGCACGAUUGUACGAUCUAACCUGACCGGCAAAAACGGUCGGAAACAGUAUCUGGUGGGCAGUUUGUUUGGGGCGAAUUCCUCCUAAAGAGUAACGGAGGAGUCUAUUAAGGUCAGCUAGGCGCGAAUGGAAACCGU